This is a long non-coding RNA of Bos taurus (domestic cattle), 1128 nucleotides long. NCBI's taxonomy places the organism in Eukaryota, Metazoa, Chordata, Mammalia, Artiodactyla, Bovidae. The record is from Ensembl.
AAUUAAAAGACACUUACUCCUUGGAAGAAAAGUUAUGACCAACCUAGACAGCAUAUUAAAAAGCAGAGACAUUACUUUGCCAACAAAGGUCUGUCUAGUCAAGGCUAUGGUUUUUCCAGUGGUCGUGGAUGGAUGUGAGAGUUAGACUGUGAAGAAAGCUGAGCACCAAAGAAUUGAUGCUUUUGAACUGUGGUGUUGGAGGAGACUCUUGAGAGUCCCUUGGACUGCAAGGAGAUCCAACUAGUCCAUCCUAAAGGAAAUCAGUCCUGAAUGUUCAUUGGAAGGACAGAUGUUGAAGCUGAAACUCCAAUAUUUUGGCCACCUGAUGUGAAGAGCUGACUCAUUCGAAAAGACCCUGAUGCUGGGAAAGAUUGGGGGCAGGAGGAGAAGGGGACGACAGAGGAUGAGAUGGUUGGAUGGUAUCACCGACUCAAUGGACAUGAGUUUGAGUAACCUCCCUUGACUGGUUUUCUUUGUGUAACGUGGAGGGCAAGAUCCAGGAGAACCUGAAUUCACACGCAGGCAUCUCCUCCUACUGUGCCUGGUAUCACUUGUCUCCAGGGUGGAUGGUAAAUUGAACUGCGUUAUAAUUCAGACUCUCUAAGUCAUGUUUUUUUGUUGUUUCAUUUCUGUCCUAUGUCCUGCCUAGCUAAUCAUUUCAAAUCUAUCGAAAAUUUCCUCUGAAAAUUAACUUUGCAGUUCACACAGGUUCCCCUAGAGGACGCCAAAGGGCUACAUCUGAUGGAAGAUGAAGGCUGGAAAAGUCCUUUCUUGGCCAGUUUCAGGGUCUCGAGAUGAUAUUUCCUGGAUAAUUGGAGCUGACCCUAAAUCCAAUGACAGCAGUCCUUAUAAGAGAAAGGCAGAAGGAAAAUUCGGCUCAGACAAAAGAGGGAACACAGGGAAGAGAGCCCACAUGAGGACGGAAGCAGAGACUGGAGGAUGCACCCACAAGCCCAUGAACACCUGGAGCCACAGAAGCUGGAAGAGACAAGGAGGGAGUCUCCCCGGGGCCCUCCCUGGAGGGAGCGCCCCUCGAUCUUUGGACUGUUGGGCCCCAGAACCAUGAGCAAAUAAAUUUCUAUUGUUUCAAGCCAUCAACUUGUAGUAAUAAGUUACAACAAUCCUAGA